Molecule: ribosomal RNA, 379 nt
Filed under: Denisiphantes sp. 15 SL-2010
Lineage: Eukaryota; Metazoa; Arthropoda; Arachnida; Araneae; Linyphiidae
Description: partial 16S ribosomal RNA
Rfam family: Bacterial large subunit ribosomal RNA
Source: RNAcentral
AAAAACAUUUUUUAUAAAAAUAAAUAUAAAUAAAAUCUGCUCAAUGUUUUUAAAUAGCCGCAGAAUUUUAACUGUGCUAAGGUAGCAUAAUCAUUUACCUUUUAAUUAAAGGUCUGUAUGAAAGAUUUUACAAUUAAAUUCCUUUUUUGUGGAUAUUAAUAUAAUUUAAAUUAAGAAUAAAAAUGUUCUUAUAAUUCAAAAAGACGACAAGACCCUAUUGAACUUUACUCAAGUUAAGCUGGGGAAGCUAAUUAAACACUAUUUUAAUUUAAAUAAAUUUCUAAUAAAAUUAAAUAGAACAAGUUACCAUAGGGAUAACAGCGUAAUAAUUCUCAAAAGCUCUUAUUGAAAAAAAGGAUUACGACCUCGAUGUUGAAUU